RNAcentral lists this ribosomal RNA (617 nucleotides) under Drosophila bifasciata. RNAcentral describes it as "partial 16S ribosomal RNA". It matches the Rfam family "Bacterial large subunit ribosomal RNA", at positions 1895 to 2760 of the family's 2925-position model. Lineage: Eukaryota; Metazoa; Arthropoda; Insecta; Diptera; Drosophilidae. The record is from RNAcentral.
UUAAAGUCUAACCUGCCCACUGAAAUUUUAAAUGGCCGCAGUAUUUUGACUGUGCAAAGGUAGCAUAAUCAUUAGUCUUUUAAUUGAAGGCUGGAAUGAAUGGUUGGACGAAAUAUUAACUGUUUCAUUUAAAUUUUUUAUAGAAUUUUAUUUUUUAGUCAAAAAGCUAAAAUAAUUUUAAAAGACGAGAAGACCCUAUAAAUCUUUAUAUUUUUUUAUUUUAAUUGUUAAGAUUAAUUUUAUUUUAAUAAAUAAAAAUAUUUUAUUGGGGUGAUAUUAAAAUUUAAAAAACUUUUAAUUUUUAAAAACAUUAAUUUAUGAAUAAUUGAUCCAUUAAUAAUGAUUAAAAAAUUAAGUUACUUUAGGGAUAACAGCGUAAUUUUUUUGGAGAGUUCAUAUCGAUAAAAAAGAUUGCGACCUCGAUGUUGGAUUAAGAUAUAAUUUUGGGUGUAGCCGUUCAAAUUUUAAGUCUGUUCGACUUUUAAAUUCUUACAUGAUCUGAGUUCAAACCGGUGUAAGCCAGGUUGGUUUCUAUCUUUAAAAAAUUAUAAUAUUUUAGUACGAAAGGACCAAAUAUUAGAAUAAUCAUAUUUUAAAAAAGAAUAUUAUUAAUAUAA